RNAcentral lists this long non-coding RNA (3255 nucleotides) under Sus scrofa (pig). Its description in RNAcentral is "lncRNA (ENSSSCG00000041163.2)". Lineage: Eukaryota; Metazoa; Chordata; Mammalia; Artiodactyla; Suidae. The record is from RNAcentral.
GGGCCGGGACAGUCAUCGUCGUCGUCGUCGCCGCCGCCGCUGCCGCGAAGAAGCAGUUCCACCUGGUGAAGCAGCUGGGCAACCAGACCGUGGGCAAGCAAAGGAUGCCGGCCGGCUGGCCAUGCUUGGCGAUCACCUCCAGGAUGAAGGCCUGCAUGGUGGCCUCCAGCGCUUGGUCCGUGAUGCUGGCUUCAUCCAGCCGCAGCUUCUCCCCACGGGACUUGGACCAGGCCUGACGCAUGGCCUGGGGGAUGAUGCGGGUCUCCUCACCGCAGCGCACUUCCAGCUUCACAGCAGCGUAUGGAAGAUUGGACUAGGGAGUCUAAUCAGAGCUGCAGCUGCCAGUCUCCACCACAGCAGAGGCAACACUGGACCCGAAGCCGCCUCUGCAAACUGUUUCAUGGCUCGUGGCAAUGCCAGAUCCUUAAUCCACUGAGCAAGGCCAGUGAUCAAACCUGCAUCCUCAUGGACACUAUGUCAUGUUCUUAACCCACGGAGCCGCAAUGGAAUCCACACACCUUCCUUUUUUGUUAAACUUUGGUACUCAAGUUCAUGUACAAGUUUGUGCUCUUAUGCAUUAGCCCCAUCCCCACCCAUAUACAAAGUUAAUUGCACCACAGGUGGUACAUUACUGUAAACACUCAAGUCAUUGACAAUCAGAUUCUUAAACUUUUGAUAAUUUAAACUAAAAGAUGGAAUCUGCAGUUACAUACACUUAAAUUAAAAGGUCUGUUAAAGUUAGGUUUAGAGCAGUGCAAAUAGUAAAGUGAGAGCAAGGCAAACACUUCAGAGAGAAUGAUGAUAGAGGGAAAUAAGAUGACAGGCCCCGAAGCCCCUUGUUGCUUGAGAAUGGUCUUGAUUCCUGGUAUUCUGAUGUUCAGUUUAGUUCCUUUUGAUCCUUACUCUUUUUUUUCCUUUUCUUGCUUGGAUUUUAUUUAAACAAAUAUUCAUUUACAUAAAUACCCCCAUUACUCAAAAUGAUUUCAGUGGUUUCUCUUCUUUGCAAUAGGCAUGCUGUAUUUAGAGGGACUGCUAAAGUUCCUAAAAGCUAAAAUAUGAACAAGACGCCUCUUAAACAUCUGUGGUACAUUUUAUAUACGGAAGUUGAGAGUGGGAAGCAGGAAGUUCACUGAAGAUUUUAUUAGGAAACUAUUUAUAGCAGAUGCCUAAGCAAAAUGGGUAGUGACACUCAUUACUGAAAGAGAGGAGAAAAGAUCUUAAUUUAAUUAAAUGUGUAAAUUCUCCUUUACCAUAUAAAAUUAUAUAUUCAUGGGUUACAGAGAUUAGGACAUGAACAUAUUUGGUGGAGGGUAUUAUUCUCUGUAUGAGAUCUUGUCCACCCCAGGGAGAUAAUAUAGGAUAUAAUAUGUGCUAAUACAGAAAUUAAGCACAUAUAUUUUGAUAUAAAAGAAAGCUAGAGUUCAAGCGCAAUUCUGCCACUAUCUAGCUAUGUGAUCUUAGAUACAUGUUAAAAUCAUAUAUUUUAAUUGCAACUGAAAUGACUUUUCAUUCAUUUUUAUACUAUUGCAAGGUAUGUAUAUAACAUACACAAUACAUAGACAUAACACAAAUAUAUAUCAAGUUGGCCAUAAAACUAAUCGUCACAAGAGUUUUUGUCAAAAUACUCAAAAGAUUUUUUUGCAGACAUAGACAACAUUAUAACUUUUAAAAAUGAAAAUGAAGUAUAGUUGAUGUACAAUGUUAUGUUGGUUUCAGGUGCAUAGCACAGUGAUUCAGUUACACAUACAUAUAUGGCUAUUCCUUUUUAGGUUCUUUUACCUUAUGGGUCAUUAUAAAAUAUUGAAUAUAAUUCCCUGUGCUAAAAAUAGGUCCUUUUUGGUAAUUUUUUAAUAGAAAGUCUAAGGAACUAGAUUAGCUAAGAUAGUUUUGAUAAAAAUUAUAGGUAACAAGUAGAUUUAUCUGUUUUUAAGACUUGCUAUGUAGCUGCAGUAGCCAAAACUCUGAUAAUGUGAGAGGAAUAGAUGCAUAAAGGAAUCAAAUAGGAAAUAGAUCUUCAAAAAUAUGCCUGAGGAAAGACAGACAUUUCAGUCUUUUCAAGAGGUGGUGGAACAGUUGAACAUUUAAAGGUUUAAAAAAAAUUUAAAUAAAUGAACCUCAACAUAAGCCUCAUAUCUUAUACAAUGAUUAACUCCUCAUAGAUCAUGGAAUUAUAUGUAAAAUGUAAAACUAUAAAACAUACUUAGGAAAAAAUAAGAACAUUAUGGUUAGGCAAAGAGCUCUUACACUUGCCACAAAAGCCUGAUUCAUAAAAGGAAAUGUUGAUAAAUUAAACUUCCUCAAAAUAAUUUUUUUUCCUCUGUGAAAGAUCCUGUUAAGGGAAUGAAUAGACAAGAUACAGAUCAGGACAAAAUAUUGGAACAUAACAUAUACAUCAAAGAGCUAGUAUUUAGAAGAUGUAAAGCUUUCUCAAAAGUGAAAGUAAAAAUUUAAACAGCAUACAAUUCAACUACCAUAUGGACAAAAACAUGAAGCAGCAUUUCAUUGGAGACUCAGAGAUGACAAGUAUAUGAAAAAAUAUUCAAUAUCAUUACCCAUUAGAGGAAUGAAAAUUAAAAUCACAAUCAGAUGCCAUUGCACACUUAUCAGAAUGGCUUAAAAAAGUGACACCACUAACUGUUGAUGAAUAUCCGGUAUCUUAAUUACAGAAUUAGAACAGGUUAGUGGCUAUCAGGAACAAGGGAGGGAGUGCUGAUAGGAAGGAAGUGGAUGUGAUUAUGAAAAGGCAGCAGUGAGGGGCCCUAGUGGUGAUGGCACAGUUCUCUCUCAUUACUGUAAAUGUAAAAGUCCUGAUUGUAAUAUUAUGCUACAAUUUUGCAAGUAACAAUUAGAGGAAACUGGAUAGAAGAUGCACAGGACUAGUUUCUGAAUUAUUUUUUUCCCACUAAAUAUAAAUUUACAGGUAUGUUAAAAAACAAAGUUCGGUUUUUAAAAAAUCACCUAAAAUGAAAUUAAUUAGCAUGUUUCUUAAUAAUCUCCUUGGGAGAAGUCUGGAUAUGUUGGACAAUAGAGAUGUUUUUCCUCUAAAAAUAGACAAAUGCUUAAAUAUACUAAUUAUUAUAUUAAACUCACUAAGUUUCAAAGAUAUAUCUUAUUAAAAUAAACAGAUGUUCCUAAAUGACUUUCUCAUUUUAUCUAUGAUUUAUACUUCUUUGAAAUCUAAUUAGUAAGUUUACCUUUCCUGUAGCAUAAUGCUCAGGGAAAUGCAAACAUUAUUUUUUACAUUUAAUAGAAAUU